AGUUGAGGAAGCUGCUGAGUUAGCAUGGCGGGCGCGGGCUUUUAUCACGCAACCUUUCGUGAUGGAGCCAGUGGUUGUAUUCAUAUUGGUUUGGGUUCAGAUAGAAGAGCUCCAUGCUUACAAACUUUUGGGAUAACCGAGUUUAUCAAUGCCAAAAAAAUAAUCAUCGGGUUUUCAAGUGUAGGCAUCGUGUGAAAGCCCAGUUAGUGUUCCUGGUUUAUGAAUUUAAGAAUACAUUCUCAUCUCCCUUCUGUCUAUAUUCCAUUGUUUUAGAUUUAUAAGUGCUUUAGAUAAUUCUUGAGUGCCUGGUGCAACCUUUCCAUUUCAGGCAUCAUUUCUAAGUUGUAUGGCAUCCAUCCCGAUAAUUUGUUCUGCACCAUGCUGCCUCAUGUAGGAUUUUAGUGCUCGUAAUCUACUUUGCUUAGGUGACCUGCUCCCAAUCCUUCUUCCCCUCUUUUCUGACCUCUCUCUCUCUCUCUCUCUCUCUCUCUCUCUCUCUCUCUCUCUCUCUUUAUGAUGUUUGAUAUGUGUUUUGGUUCAAAUUUGACAUGACUUUUUGGUUGAUGCUUGGUUCAGAAAGGAACAAGUUCUAGAAUUGGUAGAAGAGUUGUCAUCCUUUGUUUUUUUUGUCAGGAUGAAUGCUUCAUAACAGGUGCAUGGAAGCACAAAAGUAGAUCAUAUAAACUACAGUUACAGUAUCAGCAAUAAGCAAGGGACAUCUCACAUGUUUCUAUCAAAAUUGUGUAUAAAUUUAAGAGCUUAGCAAGAGAAUAGCAUCUCUGUUCCGGGAGAAGAAAUUUAAGAGCUUAGUAAGAGAAUAGCAUCUCUGUUCAAAUAUUAGAGCUUAGUUUUUUGCAUAUGCAUGUAACAGCAACUCUUUUGUGUUCUGGUCUUAAAUAUCCUAUUCAUGAUACAGUAAUCUGCACCAAGCUUACUAUGAUGAAUUUCGGGCAAGGGAACCCCAUUGUUUAUGCAUCUUCUGUAACAGAAGAACGAUAUUUGGGGUAUAGUUUCGUAAUGUUUCGCCUGGAAUCCAUCUAUCCAGUCUGCUUUUUCUUUGUUCAGUUCAUCAAGGUUUGCUCCCUUCUUUUAAUGCAUUAGCUUUGUUUUCAUUAUACUCUUGUGAUGCUUGUUAGUUAAGUGAUGAUUUUACAUUCUGGAUUAGGCCAACGUGUUGUGUUAUAUUUCGCGUCGUGCUGCUUAUAUUUCGUAAUUGCUUGUGUUGUAGACCCCGGCCUGUAAGUGUAUUGAUUUUUGAUCCCAUUGCUGGUAGGUCCUGCAGGAGCGCGGCGCUUUGCUGACCAAGAAGAUUGAGAGGGGGCGCCAAUUGCUAGAGAGCGAGAAGGCCCGAACUGCUGCGUUGGAGGCCUCAGUAUCCGAUUGCAUCUCAGCCGAGGAGCAAUAUUGCGAGAUGCGUUGUCGUCUUGCGAGAUGCGUUGUCGUCUUAGCUUGGUUUGUAAGGAGGCCAGCAAUUAUCAGAGCAUCGCCGAGUUGGAUGCUUUGGAGGCCUGUUCCUGCCAGGAAUUAUUGUUGAAAACGCGAGACGCUGGGGAUUCCAACCAAAACAUUACCUCUGGUCUCCAGGCAAUGGUGCAAAAUAAGAGAGACAGAGGCCGACCUGCGGUGACAAAUCCAGUCCGUCCGGGAUGAGACUGAAGCUUCAGGGAAGCGUGAGGGCCCUUCGAUUGCCGAGGAGGCCGCCCUGUGAGAGGUCGGUCAACGCAUGUCAGUGGGACUGUGAGAUCAAUACGGCCAAAUAGCCAAGCUCCAGGAGGCCACCCGAGGUAUUCUUCCGUAAAUGUAUGUUGUGCCGGAUCAAGACAGCCUUGGUGUUGUCACUAGGCGCUGACCCGUGUGGCAGGUUCGAUGUGGAUCUCGCAGGAUGUUGAUGUCCACUUGGGUCCGUUGAUCGAACGUGUAGCUGGAGCCCGGGAUCGCUUGGUCGGCCUCCAAGAAGCGGCCGCCAAGGAAGGAGCCCGACUCGUGCUUGCACGCUUGAGGUCGCGCUGUAGCGAGGUCUCCACUCAUGUUGUUGUGACCUCCGUUCCUGAGAACCGCCCACUGACGAAUUUCUUUGAAGUCAAGGACACUGCCUUGAUGGUGGCGACUGGAUGUGAGCUUGAUGUGAGCCUGAAAGAGUAGGAACAUUUGUUGGCCGUGUGUGGCGUUAGCCAAUGUCAACUUUUUACAAUUUUUAUGUUUCAACUUUUGUAGGUUGAAUUCUUGUUUGAUGCCUUUGGGCAAAGUUUUGACUGACCAAGCGCACGUGGGAGGGCACCCCUAUUUCUCGCUUUAAGCGAGUACAGGGUGCUGCUAUAUGUCGCGUUCAGCGAGCAGGCGCGCUGCACUCGCGUCGGGUGAAGCCCCAGACGGGCCGGCUCAGUAGCGUAGGAGCCACAACCUGUUUUUCUUUUCUGUUUUCUGUUCUCAUUUUUGCUUCAUUUUUGUACUUUUAUUUAAACUUUAAAAUAUAAAAUAUUAUAUA
Molecule: long non-coding RNA, 2485 nt
Organism: Triticum aestivum (bread wheat)
Lineage: Eukaryota; Viridiplantae; Streptophyta; Magnoliopsida; Poales; Poaceae
Exons: 5
Source: RefSeq, a predicted model, not a curated record